This 465-nucleotide ribosomal RNA is filed under the name uncultured bacterium. Its description in RNAcentral is "partial 16S ribosomal RNA". It matches the Rfam family "Bacterial small subunit ribosomal RNA", at positions 28 to 507 of the family's 1533-position model. The record is from RNAcentral.
GAUGAACGCUGGCGGCGUGCUUAACACAUGCAAGUCGAACGGAAAGGCCCAAGCUUGCUUGGGUACUCGAGUGGCGAACGUGUGAGUAACACGUGGGUGAUCUGCCCUGCACUUCGGGAUAAGCCUGGGAAACUGGGUCUAAUACCGGAUAGGACCACAUUUUGGAUGGUGUGGUGGAAAGUUUUUCGGUGUGGGAUGAGCUCGCGGCCUAUCAGCUUGUUGGUGGGGUAAUGGCCUACCAAGGCGUCGACGGGUAGCCGGCCUGAGAGGGUGUACGGCCACAUUGGGACUGAGAUACGGCCCAGACUCCUACGGGAGGCAGCAGUGGGGAAUAUUGCACAAUGGGCGCAAGCCUGAUGCAGCGACGCCGCGUGGGGGAUGACGGCCUUCGGGUUGUAAACUCCUUUCGCUAGGGACGAAGCGCAAGUGACGGUACCUGGAGAAGAAGCACCGGCUAACUACGUG